CGCAACCCCUAUUCGUUAGUUGCCAUCAUUCAGUUGGGCACGUCUAGCGAGACUGCCGGUAAUAAACCGGAGGAAGUGGGGAUGACGUCAAAUCAUCAUGCCCCUUAUGACCUGGGCUACACACGUGCUACAAUGGUUGGUACAACGAGUUGCGAGUCGGUGACGGCGAGCUAAUCUCUUAAAGCCAAUCUCAGUUCGGAUUGUAGGCUGCAACUCGCCUACAUGAAGUCGGAAUCGCUAGUAAUCGCGGAUCAGCACGCCGCGGUGAAUACGUUCCCGGGCCUU
This 285-nucleotide ribosomal RNA is filed under the name uncultured Streptococcus sp. Its description in RNAcentral is "partial 16S ribosomal RNA". It matches the Rfam family "Bacterial small subunit ribosomal RNA", at positions 1097 to 1382 of the family's 1533-position model. The record is from RNAcentral. Lineage: Bacteria; Bacillati; Bacillota; Bacilli; Lactobacillales; Streptococcaceae.